Molecule: ribosomal RNA, 319 nt
Filed under: uncultured eukaryote
Lineage: Eukaryota
Description: partial 18S ribosomal RNA
Rfam family: Eukaryotic small subunit ribosomal RNA
Source: RNAcentral
CCCUUAGAUGGUCUGGGCGGCACGCGCGCUACAAUGAUGCAUUCAAAAAGUCUUCUGACCUUAGAAGGUUGGGUAUUCUCCAAAGUGCAUCGUGAUGGGAAUAGUUUAUUGCAAUUUUUAAUCUUGAACGAGGAAUUCCUAAUAAGUACAGGUCAUCAACUUGUGUUGAUUACGUCCCUGCCCUUUGUACACACCGCCCGUCGCUCCUACUGAUUGAGUGUCUCGGUGAAUUCUUUGAUCUUCUGUCGAUUCAGUUCACUGAUCCGACGGUGGAAAGUUGAAUGAACUUCGUCACUUAGAGGAAGGAGAAGUCGUAACA